GGGGAAUAUGCAUGGGCGGAAGCCUGAUCCAGCCAUGCCGCGUGUGUGAAGAAGGCCUUAUGGUUGUAAAGCACUUUAAGCGAGGAGGAGGCUACUUUAGUUAAUACCUAGAGAUAGUGGACGUUACUCGCAGAAUAAGCACCGGCUAACUCUGUGCCAGCAGCCGCGGUAAUACAGAGGGUGCAAGCGUUAAUCGGAUUUACUGGGCGUAAAGCGCGCGUAGGCGRCUAAUUAAGUCAAAUGUGAAAUCCCCGAGCUUAACUUGGGAAUUGCAUUCGAUACUGGUUAGCUAGAGUGUGGGAGAGGAUGGUAGAAUUCCAGGUGUAGCGGUGAAAUGCGUAGAGAUCUGGAGGAAUACCGAUGGCGAAGGCAGCCAUCUGGCCUAACACUGACGCUGAGGUGCGAAAGCAUGGGGAGCAAACAGGAUUAGAUACCCUGGUAGUCCAUGCCGUAAACGAUGUCKGGGRGRMAAUGGGGCCUUUGAGGCUUUAGUGGCGC
RNAcentral lists this ribosomal RNA (498 nucleotides) under Acinetobacter sp. Es12. RNAcentral's name for it is "bacterial SSU rRNA". It matches the Rfam family "Bacterial small subunit ribosomal RNA", at positions 356 to 849 of the family's 1533-position model. Lineage: Bacteria; Pseudomonadati; Pseudomonadota; Gammaproteobacteria; Moraxellales; Moraxellaceae. The record is from RNAcentral.